GCAGCCAAGUUCCGCCUUCCCCCCUAUUUUUCGGUUUUGAGCUUUUCUUUCCCCAAGAGUUCUUCUUCACCAAGAGUUCUAAGGCUUUUAAACUCAUCUUCUUCAAGGCCUUCAACCCCUUCUUUCCAAACCUUCUUCCUCUCCAAGGUUUUCAAGCGAGGCAAGGAGGAGGAUUUUGAUCUUCAUUGACAACAAAGUUUCCUCUUCAAAGAUUCUUCAAACUUUGAUUAGCUAUGUCGACGAAGAAGUCUCGUACCGCGAGGGGUCGUUCUGCUACCCAGUCACCUGAGCCCGAACCUUUCAAUUGCACCGACGCGAUAUCUUCUCUACCAAGCUUCAACUACCCCAGGAUUCGGUUUCCACCCAACCUGGGGAGAUGAAGAGCUCAUCUCCUACUACAUCACCCGAAACGUCGACGAGGAGAUAGCUUGAUCUACGAUCAAUCUGGUUUUUCAAAAGAGCGGGGUUGGAGCGAAGAGCCGAGAGCAAAGUGCGUCGGUUCUUUAUCAUCGAAGCUAUUGAAGACAAAGAAAAGGAGACGAGGAGAAGCGAGGGCAGCAUUGUUUGGUACAAAGUGAUCAGGGCUAUUUAUCAUUUGAAGAGGAGUGCUGAGUACUGCCAAGUGAACAAAUGAGAAGAAAGUGGAGUCAGAGUAGGGAGAUGAAUUAACAAAAAUAUUGAAAUAAAAAUAUUAGUCCCCCGCUCGGCGGAAAAAAAACCUCUUGAUCUUGGCAUUCUGGAGUACCUGUAUAAAGGAGACGGAUCUUUUUUCUCUUCUUUUCUUUGUUAAGUAAUGAUUUGUAAGGAUGUGUAAAAAGUGAGGAUAUUUUAUCUCCUUGUAGUUGUUUUCUUUUUUCUUUAAGUGAUUUUAGUAGGAUGGAAUCGACGAUAUUU
This is a long non-coding RNA of Asparagus officinalis (garden asparagus), 894 nucleotides long. RefSeq lists it as uncharacterized. Lineage: Eukaryota; Viridiplantae; Streptophyta; Magnoliopsida; Asparagales; Asparagaceae. The record is from RefSeq and is a predicted model, not a curated record. The transcript is spliced from 4 exons.